Molecule: transfer RNA, 92 nt
Filed under: compost metagenome
Description: tRNA-Ser
Source: RNAcentral
UGUUGGGAUGGGUAAGGUUGAGGUGGCCGAUCAGCGCGGCCGCGGCCGCCGCCUCGCGCCGCACCGCGGUGCCGCCCUCACGCCCGGCGACC